Molecule: ribosomal RNA, 433 nt
Filed under: uncultured Lachnospiraceae bacterium
Lineage: Bacteria; Bacillati; Bacillota; Clostridia; Lachnospirales; Lachnospiraceae
Description: partial 16S ribosomal RNA
Rfam family: Bacterial small subunit ribosomal RNA
Source: RNAcentral
ACGGAAGGAGCAGUGGGGAAUAUUGCACAAUGGGGGAAACCCUGAUGCAGCGACGCCGCGUGAGCGAAGAAGUAUUUCGGUAUGUAAAGCUCUAUCAGCAGGGAAGAAAAUGACGGUACCUGACUAAGAAGCCCCGGCUAACUACGUGCCAGCAGCCGCGGUAAUACGUAGGGGGCAAGCGUUAUCCGGAUUUACUGGGUGUAAAGGGAGCGUAGACGGCAAGGUAAGUCUGAAGUGAAAUGCCGGGGCUCAACCCCGGAACUGCUUUGGAAACUAUCUCGCUCGAGUACCGGAGGGGUAAGCGGAAUUCCUAGUGUAGCGGUGAAAUGCGUAGAUAUUAGGAGGAACACCAGUGGCGAAGGCGGCUUACUGGACGGUAACUGACGUUGAGGCUCGAAAGCGUGGGGAGCAAACAGGAUUAGAUACCCUGGUA